This is a long non-coding RNA of Daphnia pulicaria, 520 nucleotides long. RefSeq lists it as uncharacterized. The record is from RefSeq and is a predicted model, not a curated record. The transcript has 3 exons. NCBI's taxonomy places the organism in Eukaryota, Metazoa, Arthropoda, Branchiopoda, Diplostraca, Daphniidae.
UUAACCAAUGGCCCAUUAUGCAUCCCGGUCGUCGUGUGUGUGUGUAUCUCAUUUCACCUGAUGUCGUCAUGCCGAGAUUCAAGUUGGAAAACAGAAGACCACCACAUCCUCUCUCUCUCUCUUUUUUUCUUGGAAAAUUGAGUUAGUUCCAUUGUCCAUCCGUCCCCAGAAAGAGAAACAUGCUACAGAUAUUCGACUUAAGUCAUUAAAAAUUUAGGGGGGCUCGCGACUUGAGAAUGGACCCAUUUUGGCAGCUACAACCGACCAGCAACAGUUCAAUAAAAGAAAGUUAAGAUUAUUGAGUCGUCAAGAUCGACACUACACACUCAAGAUAACUAGCAGCCGCGUAAACCGAGGGAAGGGCCGCGUUCACCGCGAUGCACGAUAUAAUUCCCGAUUGGCUUGCUGACAAUCCAUCGGUAGCUGGUCGAUGUCGACAUACAAAAUGAACAUGAUUACGUAUACAACAAUGUAUCAAAAAAACUUUCGUUUAACCGAACUGAAUUAUUAUUCUCACAUU